GAGGAAUAUUGGUCAAUGGGCGAGAGCCUGAACCAGCCAAGUAGCGUGCAGGAAGACGGCCCUAUGGGUUGUAAACUGCUUUUGUAUGGGGAUAAAGUCAAUCACGUGUGAUUGUUUGCAGGUACCAUACGAAUAAGGACCGGCUAAUUCCGUGCCAGCAGCCGCGGUAAUACGGAAGGUCCGGGCGUUAUCCGGAUUUAUUGGGUUUAAAGGGAGCGUAGGCUGGAGAUUAAGUGUGUUGUGAAAUGUAGACGCUCAACGUCUGACUUGCAGCGCAUACUGGUUUCCUUGAGUACGCACAACGUUGGCGGAAUUCGUCGUGUAGCGGUGAAAUGCUUAGAUAUGACGAAGAACUCCGAUUGCGAAGGCAGCUGACGGGAGCGCAACUGACGCUGAAGCUCGAAGGUGCGGGUAUCGAACAGGAUUAGAUACCCUGGUAGUCCGCACAGUAAACGAUGGAUGCCCGCUGUUGGUACUUGGUAUCAGCGGCUAAGCGAAAGCAUUAAGCAUCCCACCUGGGGAGUACGCCGGCAACGGUG
Molecule: ribosomal RNA, 539 nt
Filed under: uncultured bacterium
Lineage: Bacteria
Description: bacterial SSU rRNA
Rfam family: Bacterial small subunit ribosomal RNA
Source: RNAcentral